GCUGGCGGCGUGGAUUAGGCAUGCAAGUCGAGCGAUCCUUGCUUGAUAUUUACUGGAGUGCUUGCACAAAGGUAAAUGGAUAGCGCUGGAUAGCGGCAAACGGGUGAGUAAUGCGUGAACAACUUUCCCUUAAGUCGGGCAUAGCAUCGUGAAAAUGGUGGUAAUUCCCGAUAGUCUCUGAUAGUCGCAUGAUUAUUAGAGUAAAGGUGGGGAUCCUUCGGGACCUGCCGCUUAAGGAUGGGUUCGCGUCCUAUCAGCUUGUUGGUGGGGUAAUGGCCUACCAAGGCAUUUGACGGGUAGCCGGCCUGAGAGGGUGACCGGCCACACUGGGACUGAGACACUGCCCAGACUCCUACGGGAGGCUGCAGUCGAGAAUCUUCCUCAAUGGACGAAAGUCUGAAGGAGCGACGCCGCGUGCAGGAUGAAGGCUUUCGGGUCGUAAACUGCUUUUGUUAGGAAAGAAAACCAUAAGAUUAAUAGUCUUAUGGCUGACGGUACCUAAAGAAUAAGCCACGGCCAACUCCGUGCCAGCAGCCGCGGUAAUACGGAGGUGGCAAGCGUUACUCGGAAUUAUUGGGUGUAAAGGGUAAGUAGGCGGUCUAGUAAGUGAGAGGUGAAAUCCUGCGGUUCAAUCGCAGAACUGCCCUUCAAACUACUAGACUUGAGAUAGGAAGAGGGAAACGGAAUUAGCAGUGUAAGGGUGAAAUCUGUAGAUAUUGCUAAGAACACCAACGGCGUAGGCAGUUUCCUGGUCCUAUUCUGACGCUAAAUUACGAAAGCUAGGGGAGCGAACAGAAUUAGAUACUCUGGUAGUCCUAGCCGUAAACGAUGAGUACUAGGUGUUGGCCCUUCGGGGUCAGUGUCGAAGCUAACGCGUUAAGUACUCCACCUGGGGACUAUGGUCGCAAGGCUAAAACUCAAAGGAAUUGACGGGGACCCGCACAAGCGGUGGAACAUGUGGUUUAAUUCGAUGAUACGCGAAGAACCUCACCCAGGCUUGACAUGCUUGUCGUACCUCUAUGAAAGUAGAGGGUCGGUUCGGCCGGACAAUGCACAGGUGCUGCAUGGCUGUCGUCAGCUCGUGUCGUGAGAUGUUGGGUUAAGUCCCGCAACGAGCGCAACCAUUGCCCUAUGUUGCCACCCCACUUUAUCUAGCUAGCUAGAGGGUGGGCGCACUCUUAGGGGACUGCCCGGGAUAACCGGGAGGAAGGUGGAGAUGACGUCAAGUCAGUACGGCCCUUAUGCCUGGGGCUACACACGUGUUACAAUGGGUGAUACAAAGGGUUGCCAACCCGCGAGGGGGAGCUAAUCUCAAAAAGUCAUCCUCAGUUCGGAUCGGAGUCUGCAAUUCGACUCCGUGAAGCUGGAAUCGCUAGUAAUGGAAGAUCAGCUCGCUUCCGUGAAUACGUUCCCGGGUCUUGUACACACCGCCCGUCAAGCGAUGAAAGCCGGGGGUACCCGAAGUCCUGUGUAGGCAGGCCGAAGGUAAAACUGGUGAUUGGCGCUAAGUCGGAACAAGGUA
Molecule: ribosomal RNA, 1522 nt
Filed under: metagenome
Description: bacterial SSU rRNA
Rfam family: Bacterial small subunit ribosomal RNA
Source: RNAcentral